GAGCCACCCAAUUCGUGUACCAGGGAUAUUCCACUUCGUUAAUUCAGGUGAAGAUUUUUGCUAUACGCGAAUAGCCUGGCCUCCGCUCCGCGGCUCGAUCCGCCUCGCCGUCGUCUCCCCUCCACGUCGCCGCCCCUCCGUAACUUGUCCACGGCACCCGCCCUCCGACCGCCGUGGCUCUACUUGUACAGGAUUCCCUCAGCCCUCCCUCCUCCGCUCCGUCUGAUGCCUGUCCACCGCGCGCGUCACCGCCUGGUCGCCUCCUGCACGGCGACCUCCUAUGUUAGCCGCCGGACGCCCGCCCUCCAUAGCUCCCUCGCUCCGUGGCCACCCCAACGCCGCCCUCCCCGUGAGACCGUGACCGACAGAUUGGGAGGGAGUCCAUUGACAAGAGCCUCUCAGGUGUUGGUUGCAGCUAUGAGGUUCCGAGAGUGACUGAAGUGACGACUAUGGGGUUCAUUCAAUAGACCACUUAAUUCAGUGAAAAAUAAUGAGUUCAACAAUGGAGCUAAAGAAUACGUGCAGCAGGGGUGGACAUUCGGUCAGAUCGAAGAAUUUGAUCUCCGUCUUCAACUAAAUUUUGGUCAUUACAUGACUGAAUGAUUGGCAACAGUUUCAUAGAUGCAAAUAAAUGAUAGAAACUAUUAAUAAUUUCAUAGUACAAAAAUUACUAACAAAAAUCACCAGUGCAAUGAUGAAGACUCUUGCUAGAUUGCAUGUCCUAUCGAAAGUAGGGAUCUAAAGGGUUUUUAGACGUACUGGGUUGGAGGUUGUUCUUGGAUGGUUUUGUUAAUUUUGGUCUUUUCUGUUAACCGAGGGGGACCAAUCCAAUUAAUCACCAAACAAAAUUCGGUCUUUCACAAUGUGGGACAGAAUGAUGGCCGAAUUUCUCGGGGUCAAUUCCUUUUUUUUUUUGGUUGGGUCGUUUUCUGUCCACCGUGCAGAUUAGUAGCAGCGAUUAUGUAAUUAUGUGAUGAGGUGAAGAUUGAAGGAGACGUGAUGUUGUGCUGCUCACCUAACGUGGUGGCCGGAGUAACAUCCGGCGCCGGCGCCGACGUCGGCGAGAGCCCGUC
Long non-coding RNA from Oryza brachyantha (malo sina), 1073 nucleotides. RefSeq lists it as uncharacterized. Lineage: Eukaryota; Viridiplantae; Streptophyta; Magnoliopsida; Poales; Poaceae. The transcript is spliced from 3 exons. The record is from RefSeq and is a predicted model, not a curated record.